AUAUAAAGUAAAGCGCCAGAACUUAAUGUAAGUUAUUAAGUUGACGAGGAUAGGGAGUAUCGAAAUUUCGGCGGAUGCCCUACGGUAUCGCACUACCGUUAAAGAUUGAUAAAACUGAGAAGUAAUUUUCAGCACAAUAUCAAUUGAGUGUUAAAA
This is a regulatory RNA element of Clostridiales bacterium oral taxon 876, 156 nucleotides long. It matches the Rfam family "glmS glucosamine-6-phosphate activated ribozyme aptamer". Rfam says of the family: This entry contains a glucosamine-6-phosphate activated ribozyme that is found in the mRNA for GlmS. GlmS is an enzyme that uses fructose-6-phosphate and glutamine to generate glucosamine-6-phosphate. The record is from Rfam. NCBI's taxonomy places the organism in Bacteria, Bacillati, Bacillota, Clostridia, Eubacteriales.